RNAcentral lists this ribosomal RNA (661 nucleotides) under uncultured Porphyra sp. RNAcentral describes it as "bacterial SSU rRNA". It matches the Rfam family "Bacterial small subunit ribosomal RNA", at positions 28 to 735 of the family's 1533-position model. The record is from RNAcentral. Lineage: Eukaryota; Rhodophyta; Bangiophyceae; Bangiales; Bangiaceae.
UAGUAACGCUGGCGGUAUGCCUCACACAUGCACGUCGAACGAAAGUUAUACUUUAGAUGGCGGACGGGUGAGUAUAUGAGAAUCUACCUUAUAAGAAGGGAAUAACAAUUGGAAACGAUUGCUAAUGCCCUAUAUGCUUAGCAGUGAAACAGAUGAUCUGCCUGAAGAUGAGCUCGCGCCUGAUUAGCUAGUUGGUAGAGUAAAAGCCUACCAAGGCAACGAUCAGUAGCUGGUUUGAGAGGACGAUCAGCCACACUGGGACUGAGACACGGCCCAGACUUAUACGGAAGGCAGCAGUGGGGAAUUUUCCGCAAUGAGCGAAAGCUUGACGGAGCAAUACCGCGUGAGGGAAGAAUGCCUGUGGGUUGUAAACCUCUUUUUUUAGGGAAGAAAAUAUGACGGUACCUAAAGAAUAAGCAUCGGCUAACUCCGUGCCAGCAGACGAGGUAAUACGGGGGAUGCAAGCGUUAUCCGGAAUAACUGGGCGUAAAGCGUCUGCAGGUGGCUUACCAAGUCUGCUAGUUAAUAUUAGAGCUCAAAUCUGAGUAAGCAGUGGAAACUGUUAGGCCUAGAGUAUGGUAUGGGUAAAGGGAACUCCCAGUGUAACGGUGAAAUGCGUAGAUAUUGGGAAGAACACAGAACAAACAGGCUUUACUACACA